This 3109-nucleotide long non-coding RNA is filed under the name Homo sapiens (human). Its description in RNAcentral is "non-protein coding lnc-SNRPB2-1:1". The record is from RNAcentral. Lineage: Eukaryota; Metazoa; Chordata; Mammalia; Primates; Hominidae.
AAAGAACCUGCUCUCUUUUACAUCUAGAGCUGCCCUUGAAAAUAUGCCACCAGAAAGGAAAAAUGAAUGAAAUGCAGUCACCAUCCUUAGCUCAAAGCCUGGUGAGAGGGAUAGAACAAAUACAACUGAUUGAUGAAGCACAGAGAGGAAAAGCAACUUGGCCAAAGACACACGGCUCAUUAUCAUGGGGUUUGAGUUCAAACCCAGACAGUCUGAUUCCAGAGCCUGGCAAAUUUGACUGCUGCUCAUAUUAUCUCUCUUUCAACUGUGAAAGAUGUAUUCAUAGGCAUUUUUCUCAAGUUUUUAUUUGAAAAGGCUUUGCCCAAUGGCCCACAAAGACCUGGGGUGAAGGCAGGAGCUGGAAUGGGUUUGUCCUUACCCAAAUUUAUCCUUCACUGGCCUGAUGCUGCAUGGUGGUUCCUGGGGAUAACUGUUCCUCUGGUCCAAAGUAUCACAAUCUAAACAGAUUUGCAGAUGUUCAGCUUCCGUUUUGCCUUUAUCAAGUUCAACUGACAGUCCAGUGGGACUGGUUGCAUUUGUGCCAUGCACUCCAGCCCUCUCCCUCCCACUCCCCACCCCAGCAUGUUUCCCUGAGGAACUGGGAGAAGCUGCAGCUGUUGCCUCUGGUUUCCUUCAGCUCCUGCCACAGCAGCAGUUCUUCAAAAUUUCAUUACUUGUCUAUAUUUUCAGUAAAGUCACUCAACACUCACCGUUGUCCUGCUUUCCCCAGAGCAUGUCACCUUCAGUCUUCAAGCACCAGAUAAUUAAGUUGCUAGCAAGGUGCUGCAGAGAGGGAAGCCAUGCUGGAAAUCCCAGGCUGGCAGAAACCUGGAGUGGAACUCUCUUCUUAGGACUUCAUUUCCAUGGCCAGAAGGAAAGCAGCCUUCCCUAAAUUGCACCUGCCUCAAAGCUCUAUUGCCUUGACCUCAAUUAAAAAAGAAAUUACGACAACAUCCUUUAAAGAAUGCCACUAACAGCCUCUUGGCCUUCUACGGGAUACAGCAGCCAAUUUGCUGGUCUGUCUCUAUAGAAAUUGUUUCUCCACUGUGUGGAGAAAAUAAAAUCCAAGAUGGAGAUGGUUAUGUAAGAGGUAUCUAAAUGGGAUCUGCGGGGCAUAAGGAGUUGGAUCCCAGUCAUGUGCACACCCAGAUGAAAUCUGACUUGUUGAACUGGGCCAAAUUGUAACACCAACUGCAUUUGACUUGUACUGUUUAUACUGGGCCUGAUCACCAGCUUCCUGGAAAGACAGCUAGGCCAAACAAGACUGAAAGACAUCCUAAGCUGUUAACCAGCCAUCAUCAAUCAUGCACUAUAUGAAAACCUUCCAGAAUGUUACACAACUCAGAAUCAUCAAGAAGAAAAACCAAAACUGAACUUGGAGUAAGGGCAGACAUUGGCUGAGUAUCCUCGACAUUAUAUUUCUGGCUUUGACACAAGGACGUGACCAGUGUGAUUUGGCAAGGUGGGUUCAGUUGGUAUCAAUUCCCGGGCCACCAAGGAUGGAAGCACUUUGCACAGAAUCAGGCUUGUUUUGCCUUCCAGGAUGCCAUACACUGUGGCCUACACCUCAGUUUCCUGUACAGAGCCCAGCUCCCCGAGGACUGCAAACCCCGAGGACAGCUGAUGAUCUCAUUCUUGGUGUGGCGAACAUCCUUGCUAUUCUCAUUAUGGAAGCAACCUCACCAGCAGUAGGGUGGCUCUGACAUCUGCGAUUAAACUGCUACUGAAUCAGGAAAAAAGGAAGCAGGACAGAGGAAGGCAACGACUGGAAAGUUCUACUUCGGGACAACAUCUCUGAAUUAUUCACAUACAUUAAUGGAAACGAAUCAUUCUGACUCAUUAAUCAAUGCUGAAAUGAACGAUAAGCAACCGAGGAUGACCUAAAACAUUUAUAUUUGGCUUAUAUCAUGUUAGAACUUCUAAUUUAACAGAGAUGUUUCAUGCCCUGGAAGUUCAUACUGCUGCUGGGAAAUCACAAAGCUACGUUGGGAGCGUGUGACAUCCUCUUUCCCAACUCUUCUCACUGAGCAUCUCCCUGGAGGAGGCCAAAGUCAUCUCUCAGACUAAGCUCAGAGCUCAGUGAAGCUGUAGGGACAUUGGCAACAACUGCAGCAUCAUAGGCAUGGCUUGAAUGAGAGCUGUGAUUGUUAGUGAUGUCCAGGUAUGUGUCUGCCAUCUCAGAGUGACCCUGAGAAAGGCAUUCAUUUGGAAGCUUUUCUCCCCGCACUCUAUUCUAAGUGACCCAUUGCUCAGUGCCUAUUGCCCAGUGGACAUUAUGAAGUCCUGGAGGCUGCCAGUCUCCUCACUGUGACUGGAGUCAUGGCUCCAGGCUCUGCCGGCUUCAUGCACCUGGGGAGAGUGACCAGCAGCACUGCCCAGAGUCCCGUGCUGGCCCUGCAGGAACAAAGGCCUUGCAGGAUACGCAGUCGUCGUGACAUGCUGAUGGCAGAUUAUGUGCUAUUUGCACUUUUUUUUCUCUCUCUUUCAUGUAGGGAUGCCCAGGUUGGUCGGGACAUUUCUGAUGCUCCACCUCCAUCCCUCAGUGCUCGCUAGUCUGGGCCUGCAAGCAGUGUUAUUGAACAAAACUGGGGUUCGCUAACCCAGCGCAGUUAAAUCCAAACAUCCACACUGAGGUUUGCAAUGGGAGAAAGGAGAGCAUUUAUUGGCAAGGCGCCAAGCAAGGAGAAUUAGGCAGCUCCCAUUUAAGAUCUGACCUCCCCUGUGACUUGGAAGUAAGGGUAUUUAAAGGCAGAGGGAAAUUUCAGGAAAGCAGAAGUUACAGGCAAAGUCAUAAAUCAAUACAUGGAGGUUGUACUUCAGUUUGACCGAAAAAGGUGGGGUAUCUUGAAGUGGGAGCUUAUAGGUCAUAGGUAGAUUCAAAGAUUUUUUGAUUUUCAAUUGGUUAAGGAGGCAAAGCUUUGUCUAGACAUGCGAGGUCAGCGGAAAAGAAUGUAAGCUCUGGCCUGUGGCGUGACCUCCUCCAGGCCCCUCAGGAAGAAAUCUAGAACAAAGAGCAGUGGUUCCAGUUCAGUCCUCAGUUCCCCUCAGGGUCUGCAGGCCAGCAGAUCCAUCUGAUGGGGGUCUGGGUUUCUGAAAAACACCUUGGGAA